UACGUAGGGUGCGAGCGUUGUCCGGAAUUACUGAGCGUAAAGAGCUCGUAGGUGGUUUGUCGCGUUGUUCGUGAAAUCUCACGGCUUAACUGUGAGCGUGCGGGCGAUACGGGCAGACUAGAGUACUGCGGGGGAGACUGGAAUUCCUGGUGUAGCGGUGGAAUGCGCAGAUAUCAGGAGGAACACCGGUGGCGAAGGCGGGUCUCUGGGCAGUAACUGACGCUGAGGAGCGAAAGCGUGGGGAGCGAACAGG
Molecule: ribosomal RNA, 253 nt
Filed under: uncultured bacterium
Lineage: Bacteria
Description: partial 16S ribosomal RNA
Rfam family: Bacterial small subunit ribosomal RNA
Source: RNAcentral